GGCGAUUAGCUCAGCGGGAGAGCACUGCCUUCACACGGCAGGGGUCACUGGUUCGAUCCCAGUAUCGCC
RNAcentral lists this transfer RNA (69 nucleotides) under hydrothermal vent metagenome. RNAcentral's name for it is "tRNA-Val-CAC". It matches the Rfam family "tRNA". From Rfam's summary of the family: Transfer RNA (tRNA) molecules are approximately 80 nucleotides in length. Their secondary structure includes four short double-helical elements and three loops (D, anti-codon, and T loops). Further hydrogen bonds mediate the characteristic L-shaped molecular structure. tRNAs have two regions of fundamental functional importance: the anti-codon, which is responsible for specific mRNA codon recognition, and the 3' end, to which the tRNAs corresponding amino acid is attached (by aminoacyl-tRNA synthetases). tRNAs cope with the degeneracy of the genetic code in two manners: having more than one tRNA (with a specific anti-codon) for a particular amino acid; and 'wobble' base-pairing, i.e. permitting non-standard base-pairing at the 3rd anti-codon position. The record is from RNAcentral.